Molecule: non-coding RNA, 30 nt
Filed under: Homo sapiens (human)
Lineage: Eukaryota; Metazoa; Chordata; Mammalia; Primates; Hominidae
Source: RNAcentral
UCCAGGUCAUGGUGACCAUUUCUUAGGGAU